CCGAGUUCUGGGACCUAGUCCCUACUCUCAACCCAUGUUUACUUAUACUGUUGCUUCGGCGGAACGUGGUGGUUUCUUCGGAAGCCCCCCUCUGGCCUCUCGAGUCUAGAGUGCGUCCGCCGAAAUUUUUUCAAACACCGUCUUGAACUUUCAGUCUGAGAUGAAAAUAAGAAAGCA
This 177-nucleotide unclassified non-coding RNA is filed under the name uncultured fungus. RNAcentral's name for it is "sequence contains ITS1, 5.8S rRNA gene". The record is from RNAcentral. Lineage: Eukaryota; Fungi.